AAAGACCUUAUGCUUUUGGAGCGGCCGAUGUCUGAUUAGCUAGUUGGUAAGGUAAUGGCUUACCAAGGCGACGAUCAGUAGUUGGUCUGAGAGGACGGCCAGCCACACUGGGACUGAGACACGGCCCAGACUCCUACGGGAGGCAGCAGUGGGGAAUUUUGGACAAUGGGCGCAAGCCUGAUCCAGCAAUGCCGCGUGAGUGAAGAAGGCCUUCGGGUUGUAAAGCUCUUUCAGUCGAGAAGAAAAGGUUGUGACUAAUAAUCAUGACUCAUGACGGUAUCGACAGAAGAAGCACCGGCUAACUACGUGCCAGCAGCCGCGGUAAUACGUAGGGUGCGAGCGUUAAUCGGAAUUACUGGGCGUAAAGGGUGCGCAGGCGGUUCUGUAAGUCAGAUGUGAAAUCCCCGGGCUUAACCUGGGAACU
This 424-nucleotide ribosomal RNA is filed under the name uncultured beta proteobacterium. RNAcentral's name for it is "bacterial SSU rRNA". It matches the Rfam family "Bacterial small subunit ribosomal RNA", at positions 202 to 622 of the family's 1533-position model. Lineage: Bacteria; Pseudomonadati; Pseudomonadota; Betaproteobacteria. The record is from RNAcentral.